RNAcentral lists this transfer RNA (94 nucleotides) under Komagataeibacter oboediens. RNAcentral describes it as "tRNA-Sec". Lineage: Bacteria; Pseudomonadati; Pseudomonadota; Alphaproteobacteria; Acetobacterales; Acetobacteraceae. The record is from RNAcentral.
GGGCGCCAUCGGCUGGUUCAUGGUGGCGUCGGGCUUCAACCCCGACAGCACGGCGGUCGCCCCCGUGCGGCUGGUGCUGCACCUGUGCUGCGCC